This 468-nucleotide ribosomal RNA is filed under the name uncultured bacterium. RNAcentral describes it as "partial 16S ribosomal RNA". It matches the Rfam family "Bacterial small subunit ribosomal RNA", at positions 28 to 507 of the family's 1533-position model. The record is from RNAcentral.
GGCGAACGCUGGCGGCGUGCUUAACACAUGCAAGUCGAACGGAAAGGCCCUGCUUUUGUGGGGUGCUCGAGUGGCGAACGGGUGAGUAACACGUGAGUAACCUGCCCUUGACUUUGGGAUAACUUCAGGAAACUGGGGCUAAUACCGGAUAGGAGCUCCUGCUGCAUGGUGGGGGUUGGAAAGUUUCGGCGGUUGGGGAUGGACUCGCGGCUUAUCAGCUUGUUGGUGGGGUAGUGGCUUACCAAGGCUUUGACGGGUCGCCGGCCUGAGAGGGUGACCGGCCACAUUGGGACUGAGAUACGGCCCAGACUCGUACGGGAGGCAGCAGUGGGGAAUAUUGCACAAUGGGCGGAAGCCUGAUGCAGCAACGCCGCGUGCGGGAUGACGGCCUUCGGGUUGUAAACCGCUUUCGCCUGUGACGAAGCGUGAGUGACGGUAAUGGGUAAAGAAGCACCGGCUAACUACGUG